GAUGUGCUCUUAGGCAGACAAGAAAUUGUUUACUACAAUUAAUAAUAACUUUGAAAUUAAUUAUAUAUAUUCCACUUACAAAAUGAUUCAAUGAAGCUAAUAAUAAUACUAUUCUAUAUUUUAUAAGACUAUAUAUGUUACUUCAUAUUAAUCAGAAUCACAACUACCCAGUGCAGUAAAGCAUCAGGUGUAUCUGUUGCCAUUUUUAUAGAUGAUGAAACCAAUGUGCAGAGAGGUUAUGCAGUUUGCCCAAGGACACACAGCUGGAAACAACAUUCUGGAUUAAUUUCAAGUGAAAAUACCCUGGAGGCACACUGAAUUUUCAGAUGUGGACAGCUGAUCAUCUGAGGAAGCUGCUGCAUUUCCAGUUCUCUUUUGGUUGGGAGAAAGGCGAUUCUUCAUGCUCCUCUGUUCUUUUGAUUUCCUAUUGGCAUCUCCGUUUCCCUCUAUACCUUUCAACAUUCAAGCCAGAUGCCAAUUGUCUGUGUGAAAACACACUGCAUCUCAAAUAUACCAAGAUGCCAUAAUAUUUGACCAUAUGUGAAUAUUCCAGUAAACUCCUGGGACUUAUAUUCCAGUGUCGGUGCUGAACAACAGGAAGACUGUAAAUACCAUCAGCUAACCAAAAGACUCACAUAUGCCUCAUGUUUAUAAAUGCCCGAUAGAUGUAGUGCGUUCUAAAUUUGAAUUUUUGGUGCAAGAGAGGGGAUGGGUGCUCUCUCCAUGGAGGCAGUGCAGCUUGCAAACAUACAAAUGAAUGGGACCUCCUCAGGUUGCUGCUGAUCAUGGCAAUUAAUUAUUGUGGAGAGACUUGCAAACAAGAAACAUCUCGAGAUGAACUCUGAAAGAAAAGAAGAAAAGAAUGUGUCCAUGGUAGCCAACAGCUAUAUUAAAUAAAAUAAAGUUUGAACUAACUAUAUUAACUGGGCCAGAAAAAUUCCCCUGAAGCUGGACAGGGUGGGAUUAAAUUCUGAAACCUUAAGCAAAACACUUCAAAGGACAUAGGAUGAAUUUUGAGCAAUAUCUUUAUCUUUGCCACCCCCCACAGUCCCCAGCCUCCUGCGAUGCUGGCCUCGUCGUUGAAAAACACAAAAGCAAACCACUUCAGGAGGAUUUACUAGAUGCCAAGCUUUGUUUUGGACCUGGUGAGAGUUAAGAAGAUGAAAUAAACAAGCCCUUUGUUCUCGAGUUGCCCAGUAAUUUAGUAUGAGAAUCUUUAUUGUCAUAAAAGUGCCUAACAAUGCUAGGCAGGAAGGCAGGAAGCAGGAACUGAAGGCAACGUGUCCUUGGAAUGGCCCAGAGAAGAGACUGAGACUCUUAGCUUGACUCUGAGCUGACUUAAAGGGUCUGGUAUAAUGGCAGUUCUUUUACUGAACUGCGUUCUCUUCUAGUAAGUAUAAAAAAGUUCUAUUGGCAAUAAUAAUAGCAAAAAGUAUCAGGUUCUUACUGUGCUAAGCACUUUAAUUCUGUUAUUGGACUUUCAAAACAACUUACGGAGGAUGAUACCAUUACUUUUCCUGUAUUACAGCAGAGGGAACUGAGGUUUAGAGAGAGAAAAUAAUUUGCCAAAGUCAUAUAAUUGUUGUUUUAUAUAAUUGUUCAUCCCAUGGAGAAUGGCAUUUUCAUUUCUACAGAGAUCAGAAUGUGUUAAUUGUUAUCUAUUUCUUGUCUCAAAUGUGUUACUCCUCAUCUCUGCCAAAGCAAGCUCUAUUUAUCCUGCAAGAACUGUGGAACUUCCUCUACUUCCAUCGUAAACUCUUCCUGGGACCCAGUGACCUCUCUUCCCACAGCAUACUUGGAGAAUUUAUGCCUGCCUCAUGUAUUUGGCAAUUGAUCAUAAAUGGUCCUAUGCUAAUUCUCAUUUGUCAUAUGAUAUUGUUUAAUUUUGUUUCAUCUUUCCAUCCAGAUUGUAAACUCCUUCUUGCUUCUAGCUUUGUCUAAAGGAUUAAAAGUGAGUCUUUUAUACUAUUCACCACAGUGCA
Molecule: long non-coding RNA, 1982 nt
Organism: Nomascus leucogenys (northern white-cheeked gibbon)
Lineage: Eukaryota; Metazoa; Chordata; Mammalia; Primates; Hylobatidae
Exons: 2
Source: RefSeq, a predicted model, not a curated record